Molecule: ribosomal RNA, 535 nt
Filed under: uncultured archaeon
Lineage: Archaea
Description: bacterial SSU rRNA
Rfam family: Archaeal small subunit ribosomal RNA
Source: RNAcentral
CGAAAACUUCACCUUGGGAGAAAUCUCGAUGAGGGAAUUCCAAGUGCUAGCACUAUGUGUUAGCUGUUCUUUUGUCUAAAAAACAGAAGAAGUAAGGGCCGGGUAAGACGGGUGCCAGCCGCCGCGGUAAUACCCGCGGCCCGAGUGGUGGUCGAUAUUAUUGAGCCUAAAACGUCCGUAGCCGGUCUUGUAAAUCCUUGGGUAAAUCGGCCAGCUUAACUGUCCGAAGUCCGGGGAGACUGCAAGACUUGGGAUCGGGAGAGGUCAGAGGUACUUCUGGGGUAGGGGUAAAAUCCUGUAAUCCUGGAAGGACCACCGGUGGCGAAGGCGUCUGACUAGAACGAAUUCGACGGUGAGGGACGAAGCCCUGGGGCGCAAACGGGAUUAGAUACCCCGGUAGUCCAGGGUGUAAACGCUGCGGGCUUGGUGUUGGGGGUCCUUUGUGGGCGCCCAGUGCCGGAGAGAAGUUGUUAAGCCUGCUGCUUGGGGAGUACGUCCGCAAGGAUGAAACUUAAAGGAAUUGGCGGGGGAGCAC